This 111-nucleotide non-coding RNA is filed under the name Alkalimonas amylolytica. The record is from RNAcentral. Lineage: Bacteria; Pseudomonadati; Pseudomonadota; Gammaproteobacteria.
AAUGUAGGGUACAGAGGUAAGAUGUUCUAUCUUUCAGUGUCAGAACUUAGUUCUAACCGGAAAGUAGGCUUACUAUUAGCCGCCCCACUGCUUGCAGUGGGGCGUUUUUUU